RNAcentral lists this ribosomal RNA (468 nucleotides) under uncultured bacterium. RNAcentral describes it as "partial 16S ribosomal RNA". It matches the Rfam family "Bacterial small subunit ribosomal RNA", at positions 28 to 507 of the family's 1533-position model. The record is from RNAcentral.
GACGAACGCUGGCGGCGUGCUUAACACAUGCAAGUCGAACGGAAAGACCAUGCUUUUGCUCGUCGCUCGAUUGGCGAACAGGUGUGUAACACAUGUGUAACCUGUCCUUGACUUUGGGAUAAAUCUAGGGAACUCGGGCUCAUAUCUGAUAUGAUCUCCUGCUCCAUUGUGGUGGUUGGAAAAUUUCGGCGGUUUGGGCUGGAUUCGCAGCUUAUCAGCUUGUUUGUGGGGUAGUGGCUUACCAAGUCUUCGACGGGUAGGCGACCUGGGAGGUUUACCGGCCACAAUGGGACUGAGAGACGGCCCAGACGCCUACGGGAGGCAGCAGGGGGGAAUAUUGCACAAUGGGCGGAAGCCUGAGGCAGCAACGCCGCGAGCGGGAUGACGGCCUUCUAGUUAUAAACCGCUGUCGCCGGAGACGAGGCGGUAGUGACGGUAAUGAGUAAGGAAGCAACGGCUAACUACGUG